RNAcentral lists this microRNA precursor (93 nucleotides) under Tupaia belangeri (northern tree shrew). Its description in RNAcentral is "miRNA (ENSTBEG00000019772.1)". Lineage: Eukaryota; Metazoa; Chordata; Mammalia; Scandentia; Tupaiidae. The record is from RNAcentral.
AUGUGUAUAUAUGUGUGUGUAUAUAAAAAUAUAUAUAUAUAUAUAUAUUUUUAUAUACACACACACACACACACACAUUAAACACACACACAC